GACGUAGGGCGCGAGCGUUGUCCGGAUUUAUUGGGCGUAAAGAGCUCGUAGGCGGCUUGUCGCGUCGACUGUGAAAACCCACGGCUUAACUGUGGGCUUGCAGUCGAUACGGGCAGGCUAGAGUUCGGUAGGGGGGACUGGAAUUCCUGGUGUAGCGGUGAAAUGCGCAGAUAUCAGGAGGAACACCGGUGGCGAAGGCGGGUCUCUGGGCCGAUACUGACGCUGAGGAGCGAAAGCGUGGGGAGCGAACAGG
RNAcentral lists this ribosomal RNA (253 nucleotides) under uncultured bacterium. RNAcentral describes it as "partial 16S ribosomal RNA". It matches the Rfam family "Bacterial small subunit ribosomal RNA", at positions 524 to 776 of the family's 1533-position model. The record is from RNAcentral.